Molecule: transfer RNA, 69 nt
Organism: Ananas comosus (pineapple)
Lineage: Eukaryota; Viridiplantae; Streptophyta; Magnoliopsida; Poales; Bromeliaceae
Rfam family: tRNA
About the family: Transfer RNA (tRNA) molecules are approximately 80 nucleotides in length. Their secondary structure includes four short double-helical elements and three loops (D, anti-codon, and T loops). Further hydrogen bonds mediate the characteristic L-shaped molecular structure. tRNAs have two regions of fundamental functional importance: the anti-codon, which is responsible for specific mRNA codon recognition, and the 3' end, to which the tRNAs corresponding amino acid is attached (by aminoacyl-tRNA synthetases). tRNAs cope with the degeneracy of the genetic code in two manners: having more than one tRNA (with a specific anti-codon) for a particular amino acid; and 'wobble' base-pairing, i.e. permitting non-standard base-pairing at the 3rd anti-codon position.
Source: Rfam
GGAAACAGAUUAAAUUCGAAAAAUUUCUCUUUGCCAAGGAGAAGAUGCGGGUUCGAUUCCCGCUAUCCG